Molecule: ribosomal RNA, 468 nt
Filed under: uncultured bacterium
Lineage: Bacteria
Description: partial 16S ribosomal RNA
Rfam family: Bacterial small subunit ribosomal RNA
Source: RNAcentral
GACGAACGCUGGCGGCGCGCCUAACACAUGCAAGUCGAACGGAGCUGAGAGAAGCUUGCUUUUCUUAGCUUAGUGGCGAACGGGUGAGUAACGCGUGAGUAACCUGCCCUGGAGUGGGGGACAACAGUUGGAAACGACUGCUAAUACCGCAUAAGCCCACGAUCCGGCAUCGGAUUGAGGGAAAAGGAUUUAUUCGCUUCAGGAUGGACUCGCGUCCAAUUAGCUAGUUGGUGAGGUAACGGCCCACCAAGGCGACGAUUGGUAGCCGGACUGAGAGGUUGAACGGCCACAUUGGGACUGAGACACGGCCCCGACUCCUACGGGAGGGAGCAGUGGGGGAUAUUGCACAAUGGGGGAAACCCUGAUGAAGCGACGCCGGGUGGAGGAAGAAGGUUUUCGGAUUGUAAACUCCUGUCGUUAGGGACGAUAAUGACGGUACCUAACAAGAAAGCACCGGCUAACUACGUG